GUAACUUUGCAUAUAUUAAAAAAAUUAAUUAUAAUACGGCACCUAAGAAUCAAAUCCGAACGGUCCCACUUACUAAAUACCCAAAAAUUUCGGGUCCGGCUCAAAUCUCGUUAGAACAAAAUUGAACUGGACCAUGUCUAGCCCUAAUCUCACCAACAAAUCUUAUAUUACAAAAUACUAGAGAUAAAAGUAUUUAGGUAACAGAACAGGCCCAAAUGUCAUUUGCUCAGGCAAUGGAAUCUUCAGCCCUGAGAGGGUUGAUUCAUCAAUUUCAGAGGCGAAUUCUCAAUACAGCGUAGGAAAAAUUUCGUAAUCAAGUUGAGGUUCCAUUAUUCCCUUUUCUACCAUUUCUUGGCAACAUCUUGUCCUCCAAAACUGCAAACCUCGUAUGGCUUCAUCAUCUCUUUGAAAACGUAAAAUGGUCAAUUGAAUGCCACUGCUGAUUGAUCAACUUGUUUUAUUUCCCGACCGCAUCAUCUUGAUCAAAGCGUUGCACGUCUGCGCAACAGGCUGGGUGAUGGGGUCCUUUCUCCUUCGUAUUCUUCGACAACUUACACAUCACCUCGAUCUUCUUUUGAUUCACAAAUUCUGCCAUCAAACAAGUCUAGAAUGCAGCAUCUAACUUAUACAUCCAUUCGAUCUGCUUUUGAAUCACAAAUCCCGACAUUCAUUCGUAACUAAGCAUUUCAUUUUAAGAACACAACAGCUUCGUUCAUCUUCCCUUGUUUGCAGAAGUCCUUGACCAAGAUUGGAAAAUAAACCUGUAGCCUUCAUCAAGUUGAACAGCUUGAUUGUAUCGGACAUUUUCUUUCUUGAAACCUUAACGCCCUUAUUGAACAGCGUAUUUUGAGCAUCAUCAGGCUUAAAACCCUUCUCAAUCAUCUUAUUUCACCUCCUCCACGACUCCAUUAAAAUCUUCACCCAGCGCCAAAGACUGAGCCGAAACUUUAUAAACGCUAUAAUUCAGCAUGAAACUACAUCCCAAUUUCUCAAAGAAAGCCCGUGCUUCUUUUCACAAUCCCCAGGAUGUCCCAGCAAAGAGUUUGAUCCAUCUCUUCCCCAACUUUAGUAUAUUAAACUUCUCCAUAGAUGAAAAUACCAACAGUCAAUUUCCUCUCCUUCACAGAAACAAAUGCUUCGAUCACCUGAAUAAACGUUUCCCUCGUGAGCAGAUCCUUCUCUUCUUUUCCUCAAGGACAAACACCAUGUUCUCAAACUGUCUCCUCUUCUCAAGAACAAUAAUCAUCACAUUUACUUGCCAAAUCUCGAUUAAAAUUCAACUUGCAAUCAUCUAAAAUCAUUUAAUAUUCACCUCCAAACUCAUAUCUUUGAUCUGAAUCAAUUCACUUGCUAUGUCCACCUCCAUCUGAUCAGUCCUCCAUUUCACAUUUUUAACGAUAAUUGAUUCAUUUCCGCAACCACGCAACACUCAUUCCCAAAAUCCAAUCGCGCAACAAUAACACGAGGAAUUAAAGACCCUAAAUUAUUCAAGCAAUAAAAGGAAACACUGUUAUUGUAGGAAAAUCUCAGCUUCCAGUAUCGGUUUAAUGCAAUAUUUUUUGAAGAGGAGAGAAUGAAGUGGGAUGUGACAAAAUAAAUGGAAUUUCACAAAAAGCACAAUAGACUACUACGAGUUAGAGAAUGAAGCAAAGAACACAUGGACAGAGAGCUACUGUUAGUUUGCUUUCCUUGAAUUCAUCAACCCCGUACCGUUCAGAUUUGUAAUUCGGUGGUGCUAAGGAAGAGUUUGCCAUUUACGGUGGUUUUUCCGGUAGAAUUUGAGUGAAAAAUAGAUUUGAAGAGUAGGGGUUUCUUCAAAAUGCCCAAAUAUGCAGCCUUUUUGUGUAAAUUGAAGAAAAAGAGAACGCUUAAAUUGAGUGGAACGUGGAUUCGAAGAUCGAUGAUUUCUUCAAAAUGCUCAAAUAUAUAGCCCUUUAGUGUAACAACAAAAAAAGGAAUGCUCAAAUUGAGUGGGAUUUGGAUUUGAAGAGUAGAAAUUUCUUCCACGUUCUCCAGUAAUUAGCAAAUUCAUUUUACUGGGACAUUCAAAGUGAAAAAAAGAAGUAAUGGUUGCAGUUGGAAGUUUCAGAACGAGCGUUCACACAGAAGUGCAGGUUCGUUUCGUGGCUGGAUAGUGAUGCUGUGGUCUGGUGAAGGAGAAAGAUGAUGGGAGCAUGUUGAAUGAGCUGCAAAGUCAACUUCUUUAUUACAAGAAAGUUUGGUAAAUUAUGGAACCCAAUUUAGGGCAUCUCCAA
Molecule: long non-coding RNA, 2255 nt
Filed under: Olea europaea subsp. europaea
Lineage: Eukaryota; Viridiplantae; Streptophyta; Magnoliopsida; Lamiales; Oleaceae
Source: RNAcentral